UCCAUCGCUCUUACACACACUACACGCGCGUCAGCUAACGCACAAACACGCGCGCGCGCACCGCUCACCGGCCAGCUGCUAUAGAUCGCUCGAUCGCUCACCGCCGCCCUCGAACUCUAGAUCGGCGUCGUCGUCGUCGUCGUCGUAUAAGACCACGGUACUCGCGCGCGACAUGCUCACACGGCCGAUUGCCUGCACCACUGCCGUCGCCGAUCACCAUCACACGCAACUUUAUCGUCAUUGUUGUUGAGUCGAUAAUAAUAAUAUCUUAUAGUAUAAUUUAAUAUUUAUUAUUAUAAUAAAGAGGUCUGCCUGUCGCCGCUGAAUCGAAUAAGAGACACAAUAAUUAUUAUUAUAAUUUAAACUACAAACGAAACACGACAGUACAUCGACCAGACGACUGCUGCAACACGGGCGCGGGUCACGAGUAACCUACAACUGGGUCACGUCCACAAUAAAAAUCGUCUAUACAUAAUAACAUCGUUUUGCAUCCGCAUUACCCGUCACGUAACACCCGAAAACGUCAAUUGCACCGUUCACAGUGGUAUAUUUUCCGUUUUUCGACGCGAGCGCGCGCAUAGCAACGCCUGUGGAGAUCACUGUAUUAGCUGCAGCCGUCGUCAUCUCGCGAGAUUCGAACCCGGUCCAUCACCGAUGACAACGGUUUGACGUCACCCGAUCCAAUAACUCAUUCACGCAACACGUCCACGUCCGUACAAAAUAUGAUAUCCAAAGGUUCGUCCAAGACCAGGGUGCCAGACGGUUCCCCGACCCGGUCGACGGGCGGUGAUGUGAACAACAACGGUCCCACUAAGUGUAUGAACGGUGCGUGCGGCGGUUACGGUCCAUCGUCGGCCGGCGGCGGUGGAGGUGCCGGCGACAGUCCGGCCGCCCAACCGCGACGCGUCCAGGUUACCGCCAAAAUACUGUUCGGCUCAGUGAACGCCAUAUCAACAAUGAAGCAGAACGACAAGCUGCACAGAAAAAAAUCGCAAUGACCGUCGGGCGCGCCUCUACAGCAACUACGACGACCUGCGCACCGUCCGCCGCCCCAUCCGCCGCAAUGGGCCCAACAGCGGAGGUAGCAUCACAGCGGCCCGCGACGCGGUUUCCGGCGGCGGGGCGAGCACGAGUUUUGAAACGCCGUGGAAAUCGCAACAGUCUCACUUUCGCUGUACACUACCUUAUUGUGGACCAAGUGGAAUUUUAAUUUAUUUUCAAAAACAAACAAAUCUCAUUUUAUUUCUUAAUAAAUAAUUGUUCGUAUAAUACAAAUAUAUAUGAUGUAUAUAAUAUGGACAUCAUAAUAUGAAGGUAUGUAACAUUUCGCUCUUAUAUCGAUUAUCAUCGAUUUAUAUAUGACGAGGUAUAGGUACUGCAGUUCUAUAUUAUUUCGUGCAAAACAAUUUAGUCAACAACCACGAUCUUUUUGAUAGAUAAUUCCACUACCUACAUUGUACAUAACUUAUUUAUUCGAUCAAUAUUUUUAGUUAAUCAAUUAAUUACGGUUUUACAAUUUAAAAACUAAAUUAUUUUAAAUAAAUAUGUAACGAUAUUUUACUAUAUUUAAACAUAUAUAAUUUAUAUCAAAAACGCGUGUAAACUAUAGUGUAUCUAUUAUAGGUUACUUGCUAAAUGCAUUAUUUUGUAGAUAAAUUAUUGUUUUUUUUUUUUUUAAACAUGGCUGUGAUAAAAUAACUUUUUGCAAUCCCUAUACGUUUUCCCCACCGGUUUUCAUCUAAAAUGUUGUUUGACAAAAUACCGCCGUGGUACUUUUGAAACUGCAGGGCCGGCAAAUUAACUUUUUGUUGAACAAAAAACACAUAGUUGACAUUUUAAUUGUUUAAUGACAAUUUUGAUUGUUUUUCAAUGCACUAUUGAUAAACAUAAUACAUACUACAUUGUAUAAUAGCCAGUAAACUAUACUUAUUUCAUGUAUAUCUUAGCUACUACAGUACUACGACAUUUGCAAACAUACAACUUAUUACUUAACCAUAUUAUAUUAACAACGGCUGUUUUUCUUUGAACUGUAUACAACUAUAAUAUCGUGUAUUAUGAAUAUAAACAUAAUAAUUAAUAAUAUGUAACUUUAACGUGUGUUUAAUAUACUUUUGUACAUCAACAUCAAUACUAAUCAAUAUAUUACGAAUCAUGUGGAUUUUUAUUUUAUACAAAAACAGUACUUAUUUACUAACGUAACUGUAGAUAAACACAUAGCAGAUAUAAAUAUUAACUAUACUUUACACGUACUUGCUGUAUAAAUAAAUGUAUAUUUUUUAAACUUAUAGUGUUGAAGACUAAUGAAAUUUGUCUAUAGGUAUAAUAUUUACACAAAUAAACUCAAUAUAUUUAUACCUAUACGGUUA
RNAcentral lists this long non-coding RNA (2366 nucleotides) under Acyrthosiphon pisum (pea aphid). RNAcentral's name for it is "uncharacterized LOC100568923". The record is from RNAcentral. Lineage: Eukaryota; Metazoa; Arthropoda; Insecta; Hemiptera; Aphididae.